This 253-nucleotide ribosomal RNA is filed under the name uncultured bacterium. RNAcentral describes it as "partial 16S ribosomal RNA". It matches the Rfam family "Bacterial small subunit ribosomal RNA", at positions 524 to 776 of the family's 1533-position model. The record is from RNAcentral.
UACGAAGGGGGCGAGCGUUGUUCGGAAUCACUGGGCGUAAAGCGUGCGUAGGCUGUUUUACAAGUUGGGAGUGAAAGCCCAGGGCUUAACCCUGGAAUUGCUCUCAAAACUGUAAGACUCGAAUCUCGGAGAGGAUAGCGGAAUUUCCAGUGUAGUAGUGAAAUACGUAGAUAUUGGAAGGAACACCAGUGGCGUAAGCGGCUAUCUGGACGAGUAUUGACGCUGAGGCACGAAAGCGUGGGGAUCAAACAGG